RNAcentral lists this transfer RNA (76 nucleotides) under Syntrophobacterales bacterium RIFOXYC2_FULL_60_23. RNAcentral describes it as "tRNA-Lys". It matches the Rfam family "tRNA". From Rfam's summary of the family: Transfer RNA (tRNA) molecules are approximately 80 nucleotides in length. Their secondary structure includes four short double-helical elements and three loops (D, anti-codon, and T loops). Further hydrogen bonds mediate the characteristic L-shaped molecular structure. tRNAs have two regions of fundamental functional importance: the anti-codon, which is responsible for specific mRNA codon recognition, and the 3' end, to which the tRNAs corresponding amino acid is attached (by aminoacyl-tRNA synthetases). tRNAs cope with the degeneracy of the genetic code in two manners: having more than one tRNA (with a specific anti-codon) for a particular amino acid; and 'wobble' base-pairing, i.e. permitting non-standard base-pairing at the 3rd anti-codon position. The record is from RNAcentral. RNAcentral also lists the same sequence under 4 other names. Lineage: Bacteria; Pseudomonadati; Thermodesulfobacteriota; Syntrophobacteria; Syntrophobacterales.
GGGCCGUUAGCUCAAUUGGUAGAGCAAGUGACUCUUAAUCACUAGGUUUAGGGUUCGAGUCCCUGACGGCCCACCA